Molecule: ribosomal RNA, 492 nt
Filed under: uncultured bacterium
Lineage: Bacteria
Description: partial 16S ribosomal RNA
Rfam family: Bacterial small subunit ribosomal RNA
Source: RNAcentral
AGUGAACGCUGGCGGUAGGCCUGACACAUGCAAGUCGAACGGCAGCACAGUAAGAGCUUGCUCUUACGGGUGGCGAGUGGCGGACGGGUGAGGAAUACAUCGGAAUCUACUUUUUCGUGGGGGAUAACGUAGGGAAACUUACGCUAAUACCGCAUACGACCUACGGGUGAAAGCAGGGGAUCUUCGGACCUUGCGCGAUUGAAUUAGCCGAUGUCGGAUUAGCUAGUUGGCGGGGUAAAGGCCCACCAAGGCGACGAUCCGUAGCUGGUCUGAGAGGAUGAUCAGCCACACUGGAACUGAGACACGGUCCAGACUCCUACGGGAGGCAGCAGUGGGGAAUAUUGGACAAUGGGCGAAAGCCUGAUCCAGCCAUACCGCGUGGGUGAAGAAGGCCUUCGGGUUGUAAAGCCCUUUUGUUGGGAAAGAAAAGCAGCAGGUUAAUACCCCGCUGUUCUGACGGUACCCAAAGAAUAAGCACCGGCUAACUUCGUG